This 72-nucleotide transfer RNA is filed under the name Camelus ferus (Wild Bactrian camel). It matches the Rfam family "tRNA". Rfam says of the family: Transfer RNA (tRNA) molecules are approximately 80 nucleotides in length. Their secondary structure includes four short double-helical elements and three loops (D, anti-codon, and T loops). The record is from Rfam by way of RNAcentral. Lineage: Eukaryota; Metazoa; Chordata; Mammalia; Artiodactyla; Camelidae.
GAGGGUAUAGCUAAGAGGUAGAGUAUUCACCUAGCAUGCACAGGGUCCUGGGUUCAAUCCCCAGUAUCUCCA